Non-coding RNA from Capsicum annuum, 70 nucleotides. The record is from Rfam. NCBI's taxonomy places the organism in Eukaryota, Viridiplantae, Streptophyta, Magnoliopsida, Solanales, Solanaceae.
ACCCAGAAGGCUAGUUGGUAGAGCAAUUAGUUUAUAUGAAUAAAGGUAGGUUCGAAUCAUACUUUGGGUU